RNAcentral lists this ribosomal RNA (253 nucleotides) under uncultured bacterium. RNAcentral describes it as "partial 16S ribosomal RNA". It matches the Rfam family "Bacterial small subunit ribosomal RNA", at positions 524 to 776 of the family's 1533-position model. The record is from RNAcentral.
UACGUAGGGGCCGAGCGUUGUCCGGAGUUACUGGGCGUAAAGCGCGCGCAGGCGGCUCGUCAAGCCUGACGUGAAAGCCCCCGGCUCAACCGGGGAGGGUCGUCGGGGACUGGCGGGCUUGAGGUCGGCAGGGGUUGGUGGAAUUCCCGGUGUAGUGGUGAAAUGCGUAGAUAUCGGGAGGAACACCAGUGGCGAAGGCGACUACCUGGCCUGUUCUUGACGCUGAGGCGCGAAAGCUAGGGGAGCAAACGGG